GGACCAUCCUCCAAGGCUAAAUACUCCUGACUGACCGAUAGUGAACCAGUACCGUGAGGGAAAGGCGAAAAGAACCCCGGCGAGGGGAGUGAAAAAGAACCUGAAACCGUGUACGUACAAGCAGUGGGAGCACAGAGCAAUCUGUGUGACUGCGUACCUUUUGUAUAAUGGGUCAGCGACUUAUAUUCUGUAGCAAGGUUAACCGAAUAGGGGAGCCGAAGGGAAACCGAGUCUUAACCGGGCGUUAAGUUGCAGGGUAUAGACCCGAAACCCGGUGAUCUAGCCAUGGGCAGGUUGAAGGUUGGGUAACACUAACUGGAGGACCGAACCGACUAAUGUUGAAAAAUUAGCGGAUGACUUGUGGCUGGGGGUGAAAGGCCAAUCAAACCGGGAGAUAGCUGGUUCUCCCCGAAAGCUAUUUAGGUAGCGCCUCGUGAAUUCAUCUCCGGGGGUAGAGCACUGUUUCGGCAAGGGGGUCAUCCCGACUUACCAACCCGAUGCAAACUGCGAAUACCGGAGAAUGUUAUCACGGGAGACACACGGCGGGUGCUAACGUCCGUCGUGAAGAGGGAAACAACCCAGACCGCCAGCUAAGGUCCCAAAGUCAUGGUUAAGUGGGAAACGAUGUGGGAAGGCCCAGACAGCCAGGAUGUUGGCUUAGAAGCAGCCAUCAUUUAAAGAAAGCGUAAUAGCUCACUGGUCGAGUCGGCCUGCGCGGAAGAUGUAACGGGGCUAAACCAUGCACCGAAGCUGCGGCAGCGACACUGUGUGUUGUUGGGUAGGGGAGCGUUCUGUAAGCCUGUGAAGGUGUGCUGUGAGGCAUGCUGGAGGUAUCAGAAGUGCGAAUGCUGACAUAAGUAACGAUAAAGCGGGUGAAAAGCCCGCUCGCCGGAAGACCAAGGGUUCCUGUCCAACGUUAAUCGGGGCAGGGUGAGUCGACCCCUAAGGCGAGGCCGAAAGGCGUAGUCGAUGGGAAACAGGUUAAUAUUCCUGUACUUGGUGUUACUGCGAAGGGGGGACGGAGAAGGCUAUGUUGGCCGGGCGACGGUUGUCCCGGUUUAAGCGUGUAGGCUGGUUUUCCAGGCAAAUCCGGAAAAUCAAGGCUGAGGCGUGAUGACGAGGCACUACGGUGCUGAAGCAACAAAUGCCCUGCUUCCAGGAAAAGCCUCUAAGCAUCAGGUAACAUCAAAUCGUACCCCAAACCGACACAGGUGGUCAGGUAGAGAAUACCAAGGCGCUUGAGAGAACUCGGGUGAAGGAACUAGGCAAAAUGGUGCCGUAACUUCGGGAGAAGGCACGCUGAUAUGUAGGUGAAGUCCCUCGCGGAUGGAGCUGAAAUCAGUCGAAGAUACCAGCUGGCUGCAACUGUUUAUUAAAAACACAGCACUGUGCAAACACGAAAGUGGACGUAUACGGUGUGACGCCUGCCCGGUGCCGGAAGGUUAAUUGAUGGGGUCAGCGCAAGCGAAGCUCUUGAUCGAAGCCCCGGUAAACGGCGGCCGUAACUAUAACGGUCCUAAGGUAGCGAAAUUCCUUGUCGGGUAAGUUCCGACCUGCACGAAUGGCGUAAUGAUGGCCAGGCUGUCUCCACCCGAGACUCAGUGAAAUUGAACUCGCUGUGAAGAUGCAGUGUACCCGCGGCAAGACGGAAAGACCCCGUGAACCUUUACUAUAGCUUGACACUGAACAUUGAGCCUUGAUGUGUAGGAUAGGUGGGAGGCUUUGAAGUGUGGACGCCAGUCUGCAUGGAGCCGACCUUGAAAUACCACCCUUUAAUGUUUGAUGUUCUAACGUGGACCCGUGAUCCGGGUUGCGGACAGUGUCUGGUGGGUAGUUUGACUGGGGCGGUCUCCUCCUAAAGAGUAACGGAGGAGCACGAAGGUUGGCUAAUCCUGGUCGGACAUCAGGAGGUUAGUGCAAUGGCAUAAGCCAGCUUGACUGCGAGCGUGACGGCGCGAGCAGGUGCGAAAGCAGGUCAUAGUGAUCCGGUGGUUCUGAAUGGAAGGGCCAUCGCUCAACGGAUAAAAGGUACUCCGGGGAUAACAGGCUGAUACCGCCCAAGAGUUCAUAUCGACGGCGGUGUUUGGCACCUCGAUGUCGGCUCAUCACAUCCUGGGGCUGAAGUAGGUCCCAAGGGUAUGGCUGUUCGCCAUUUAAAGUGGUACGCGAGCUGGGUUUAGAACGUCGUGAGACAGUUCGGUCCCUAUCUGCCGUGGGCGCUGGAGAACUGAGGGGGGCUGCUCCUAGUACGAGAGGACCGGAGUGGACGCAUCACUGGUGUUCGGGUUGUCAUGCCAAUGGCACUGCCCGGUAGCUAAAUGCGGAAGAGAUAAGUGCUGAAAGCAUCUAAGCACGAAACUUGCCCCGAGAUGAGUUCUCCCUGACCCUUUAAGGGUCCUGAAGGAACGUUGAAGACGACGACGU
This 2424-nucleotide ribosomal RNA is filed under the name Escherichia coli. Its description in RNAcentral is "partial 23S ribosomal RNA". It matches the Rfam family "Bacterial large subunit ribosomal RNA", at positions 450 to 2853 of the family's 2925-position model. Lineage: Bacteria; Pseudomonadati; Pseudomonadota; Gammaproteobacteria; Enterobacterales; Enterobacteriaceae. The record is from RNAcentral.